RNAcentral lists this non-coding RNA (181 nucleotides) under Thermincola sp. RNAcentral describes it as "6S RNA". It matches the Rfam family "6S / SsrS RNA". From Rfam's summary of the family: E. coli 6S RNA was the first non coding RNA to be sequenced, but its function was unknown until recently. The record is from RNAcentral. Lineage: Bacteria; Bacillati; Bacillota; Clostridia; Eubacteriales; Thermincolaceae.
AACACCCUGCGAUGCACGUGUUUAGCCGUUAAGUAUUGAGCCAACACCAAUACUUAGGGAAUCCUGCUCUGGCUGCAGCUUGUAUGCCUCCUUGCCGAGGAAACAAAAACCAGUCAGGGGGACACCCACCUGUUGAUAACAGGUUCAAAACAAGCGGCCCCACGGCAUAAGUGGGGUAUUU